This 492-nucleotide ribosomal RNA is filed under the name uncultured bacterium. RNAcentral's name for it is "partial 16S ribosomal RNA". It matches the Rfam family "Bacterial small subunit ribosomal RNA", at positions 29 to 507 of the family's 1533-position model. The record is from RNAcentral.
AGUGAACGCUGGCGGUAGGCCUAACACAUGCAAGUCGAACGGCAGCACAGUAAGAGCUUGCUCUUACGGGUGGCGAGUGGCGGACGGGUGAGGAAUACAUCGGAAUCUACUUUUUCGUGGGGGAUAACGUAGGGAAACUUACGCUAAUACCGCAUACGACCUACGGGGGAAAGCAGGGGAACUUCGGACCUUGCGCGAAUGAAUGAGCCGAUGUCGGAUUAGCUAGUUGGCGGGGUAAAGGCCCACCAAGGCGACGAUCCGUAGCUGGUCUGAGUGGAGGAUCAGCCACACUGGAACUGAGACACGGUCCAGACUCCUACGGGAGGCAGCAGUGGGGAAUAUUGGACAAUGGGCGCAAGCCUGAUCCAGCCAUACCGCGUGGGUGAAGAAGGCCUUCGGGUUGUAAAGCCCUUUUGUUGGGAAAGAAAAGCAGCAGGUUAAUACCCCGCUGUUCUGACGGUACCCAAAGAAUAAGCACCGGCUAACUUCGUG